GCCGAGCUCAGUUGCGAGAGCUUGUAACCCGAGUGGGGGCAUUAAGGUGAUGUGAACGCUGUUGUAGUGCUGCGGGCUUGGUCUAGGUGUGCUACUGCUGGCCCGCCCGUUCCAAGUUGUGUAGUGGACCACCUGGGGCCUAUGCGAAAGCUGAGCCUCACGGUCCAUAAUGUGGCAGGCACAGCGUGAGGCUGGCUUCACAGAGCAGCGACAACUGCCCGCUUCCAACGGUGGAAGGAUAACGGGCCGCUGCACUCCUUGGCCGCUUGGGCCUCGCAGCCUACUCCAGUGGACCAUCACUUUU
Triticum urartu is the source of this 304-nucleotide non-coding RNA. The record is from Rfam. Lineage: Eukaryota; Viridiplantae; Streptophyta; Magnoliopsida; Poales; Poaceae.